Long non-coding RNA from Balaenoptera ricei (Rice's whale), 883 nucleotides. RefSeq lists it as uncharacterized. The record is from RefSeq and is a predicted model, not a curated record. The transcript has 4 exons. NCBI's taxonomy places the organism in Eukaryota, Metazoa, Chordata, Mammalia, Artiodactyla, Balaenopteridae.
GGCUGGGAGGGGGGAGCCGGCCAAGGAGCCAGCCCAGGCCGUGCCCUACUGGGUAGCAGAAAGGCACAGAGAAAGUCACAUCUGGACCUGAAGCCUUCAGGGUCUGAGAGUCAGUGUCUGGAGGUGACGGUGUACAUGCAGGGGUGGAGAUGUUUCCAUGGUGAUGCUGGGAAUGGUGCAGGUACCCUCAACUCUGACCUACCUAAGGGACUUGUUGGUGGGAGACUUUAUCCUGGGAUCAAUGGGUCGGAAGCAGGAGUUGUAACCUCUACUUCUAUCUCUUCCCCACACUUCAGUGCAAAAGAAAGUUGCAGAAAGCAGAAGUGAGGUUUUAACUGACUAUUAUGAAGAAAGGUGCUAUGAACAUUGAAGUACAGUUCUCUUUUGCAGACACAGAAGUGAUGUUUUCCCAGAGUGUCUAAGACUUCUUCUCUCAUACUGAGUUGUUGAACCUGGAGUACAUUGCAGUUUAGACUCUGAAGCUGACUUUAUCACGAGGAUAUCUGGGUACUGACACUAAGCUGUGAAGACAACCCUUCCCAUUACCUGUGCAUGAAAGCCGCUGGAAACUCCUGAUGCCUUGAGGCUACGCAGCUGCGUGAGCACAUACUGUGGAGAACCACGCAAUGCAGAACUUUCAGUUCCAUGCGUUUUUGCAGGAAGUGACCCCGCACAUCAUCUCUUUUCACCACUCGUUAGGAGAGGAGAAGCUCAGUUCUGGAGAGGUGAAACACUUGCUUAAGUCCAGCUGGUCACUGGCAGGGGUGGGAGGAGAAUGCCAUCUCCUUGGACUUUCGCUGCUGUGCGGGAUGCAGUUUGUGGGGCAAUGCCUCACCUUUGAGAGAAAGGAAAGAAAGAGAGAGUGAUGUCUUAGGAAAAUAAA